GAUGAACGCUGGCGGCGUGCCUAAUACAUGCAAGUCGAGCGAACAGACGAGGAGCUUGCUCCUCUGACGUUAGCGGCGGACGGGUGAGUAACACGUGGAUAACCUACCUAUAAGACUGGGAUAACUUCGGGAAACCGGAGCUAAUACCGGAUAAUAUAUUGAACCGCAUGGUUCAAUAGUGAAAGACGGUUUUGCUGUCAAUUAUAGAUGGAUCCGCGCCGCAUUAGCUAGUUGGUAAGGUAACGGCUUACCAAGGCAACGAUGCGUAGCCGACCUGCGAGGGUGAUCGGCCACACUGGAACUGAGACACGGUCCAGACUCCUACGGGAGGCAGCAGUAGGGAAUCUUCCGCAAUGGGCGAAAGCUUGACGGAGCAACGCCGCGUGAGUGAUGAAGGUCUUCGGAUCGUAAAACUCUGUUAUUAGGGAAGAACAAAUGUGUAAGUAACUAUGCACGUCUUGACGGUACCUAAUCAGAAAGCCACGGCUAACUACGUG
RNAcentral lists this ribosomal RNA (497 nucleotides) under uncultured bacterium. Its description in RNAcentral is "partial 16S ribosomal RNA". It matches the Rfam family "Bacterial small subunit ribosomal RNA", at positions 28 to 507 of the family's 1533-position model. The record is from RNAcentral.